Molecule: ribosomal RNA, 497 nt
Filed under: uncultured bacterium
Lineage: Bacteria
Description: bacterial SSU rRNA
Rfam family: Bacterial small subunit ribosomal RNA
Source: RNAcentral
AACGCUAGCUACAGGCUUAACACAUGCAAGUCGAGGGGCAGCAUUGGGAUAGCUUGCUAUUCAGAUGGCGACCGGCGCACGGGUGAGUAACGCGUAUCCAACCUUCCUGCCAGUAGGGAACAGCCCGGCGAAAGUCGGAUUAAUGCCCUAUGUUCUUCAAUGCGGACAUCUAAGUUGAAGGAAAGAUUCAUCGCUGGCAGAUGGGGAUGCGUCCGAUUAGCUUGCCGGCGGGGUAACGGCCCACCGGGGCGACGAUCGGUAGGGGUUCUGAGAGGAAGGUCCCCCACACUGGUACUGAGACACGGACCAGACUCCUACGGGAGGCAGCAGUGAGGAAUAUUGGUCAAUGGGCGUAAGCCUGAACCAGCCAAGUAGCGUGCAAGGAUGACGGCCCUACGGGUUGUAAACUGCUUUUAUGCGGGGAUAAAGUGCGGCACGUGUGCCGCUUUGCAGGUACCGCAUGAAUAAGGACCGGCUAAUUCCGUGCCAGCCGCCGC